UACGUAGGGCGCAAGCGUUGUCCGGAAUUAUUGGGCGUAAAGAGCUCGUAGGCGGCCUGUUACGUCUGCUGUGAAAUCCCGGGGCUUAACCCCGGGCGUGCAGUGGAUACGGGCAGGCUGGAGGCAGGCAGGGGAGAACGGAAUUCCCGGUGUAGCGGUGAAAUGCGCAGAUAUCGGGAGGAACACCGGUGGCGAAGGCGGUUCUCUGGGCCUGUACUGACGCUGAGGAGCGAAAAGCGUGGGGGAGCGAACAG
RNAcentral lists this ribosomal RNA (254 nucleotides) under uncultured bacterium. RNAcentral describes it as "partial 16S ribosomal RNA". It matches the Rfam family "Bacterial small subunit ribosomal RNA", at positions 524 to 775 of the family's 1533-position model. The record is from RNAcentral.